This 936-nucleotide non-coding RNA is filed under the name Pongo abelii (Sumatran orangutan). The record is from RNAcentral. Lineage: Eukaryota; Metazoa; Chordata; Mammalia; Primates; Hominidae.
CGUGCCAGCACAUCCGAUGCAAGGCAUUUCACCGUAUUCUAUCUUUAAUUUUUACCAUGGUCCUCUGAGGAAAACAAGCUCAGGGCUCCCACUGAUUGUACAUUAUGAGACAGAGUCUUCUUGCUAUGUUGCCCAGGCUGGUCUUGAACUCCUAACCUCAAGCGAUCCUCCCAUCUUGGCCUCCCAGGUGUCAGGAUUACAGGCAUGUGCUAUCACACCCAACCUGAUACAUUGCCUUUAUAAAUUUUUUUUUCUUUAUUCUAAAAAACAGAAAAAACAAAACUGGAUACAUGUGCAGAACAUGCAGGUUUGUUACAUAGCUGUACGUGUGCCAUGGUGGUUUGCUGCACCUAUUGACCUAUCCUGUGAGACGUGGUCUUGUAACACAGUGGUUAAGAAUGUGACUUUGGAGCCAGCCUGCUAGGGGCUGAAUUCUGACUCAGCCAUUUAUUAACUGUGUGACCUUAGGUCAUAGAAUUUUCCACACUCCUUGACGGAGGUUCUUAACCCUUAUCCAUCAGCAUUCUCAGACAGCACCUCCGGUUAGGGACAGUAUCUGACCGUCCGACAUCCCUGCAGCCCCCAUGCUGUCACACAGACUCAGCCUCAGGUAGAUGGUUUCCGUAGAUGGUGGCUUUCUUUGGACCCUUGAUAUCAACCAGUUACUAUUUGACUCUUCUGCAGAACCCCAUGUUGACCCCUGCUUUGAGGUGGCAGCGUUAACACUACUCUUUGUUAUAAGCUCUCGUCUGGGGCAACUCAGGAGAACGGGACCAGAUGUGCAGAGGUAAUGAAUACCAGGGAAUCAGGAAACCACUGGAUCAGUUCUUUGAGCCAUAGAACAACACUCAUCCCAGCAGCUGGGAAGCUAUCUGCAAAAGUCCAUCUGCAGAAAGGGCUUCCUGGUCUUGCGUGUGGCUGGGCCAUUUCUCUGGA